UGCGCAGGCGGCGGCCCAAGUCAGGUGUGAAAUCCCCGGGCUUAACCUGGGAAUUGCGCUUGAAACUAGGUCGCUAGAGUGUGGCAGAGGGGGGUGGAAUUCCACGUGUAGCAGUGAAAUGCGUAGAGAUGUGGAGGAACACCGAUGGCGAAGGCAGCCCCCUGGGUCAACACUGACGCUCAGGCACGAAAGCGUGGGAGCAAACA
Molecule: ribosomal RNA, 206 nt
Filed under: uncultured bacterium
Lineage: Bacteria
Description: partial 16S ribosomal RNA
Rfam family: Bacterial small subunit ribosomal RNA
Source: RNAcentral